Molecule: ribosomal RNA, 502 nt
Filed under: fungal endophyte
Lineage: Eukaryota; Fungi
Description: eukaryotic LSU rRNA
Rfam family: 5.8S ribosomal RNA (bases 179-332)
Source: RNAcentral
GGAUCAUUGCUGGAACGCGCCCCUGGCGCACCCAGAAACCCUUUGUGAACUUAUACCUUACUGUUGCCUCGGCGCAGGCCGUCCUUGCGGGACCCUUGGCAACAAGGAGCAGCCGGCCGGUGGCCAAGUUAACUCUUGUAUUAAUUUGUCUCUCUGAGCAUAAACAUAAAUGAAUCAAAACUUUCAACAACGGAUCUCUUGGUUCUGGCAUCGAUGAAGAACGCAGCGAAAUGCGAUAAGUAAUGUGAAUUGCAGAAUUCAGUGAAUCAUCGAAUCUUUGAACGCACAUUGCGCCCUCUGGUAUUCCGGAGGGCAUGCCUGUUCGAGCGUCAUUUCAACCCUCAAGCCUGGCUUGGUGUUGGGGCACUGCUUUACCCACAAGCAGGCCCUGAAAUAUAGUGGCGAGCUCGCCAGGACUCCGAGCGUAGUAGUUAAACCCUCGCUUUGGAAGGNCUGGCGGUGCCCUGCCGUUAAACCCCAACUUUUGAAAAUUUGACCUCGG